Molecule: long non-coding RNA, 693 nt
Organism: Cyprinus carpio carpio
Lineage: Eukaryota; Metazoa; Chordata; Actinopteri; Cypriniformes; Cyprinidae
Source: Ensembl
GUUAUCCAGUGCACCCUCAUCCCAGUGGAAUGCGUUGAAGUGAGAGUCAUGCAGUUCACCGGGCCUAGUCUGCGUAGAGAUAUUUACACGCCAUUUAACACAUUAAGGACUUGCUAAAUUGUCAUCGCACUACAUUCUGUCUAUUUCCGGGUGAAAUCACAGCUCAGAAGUUCGGGUGUUUGUGGACUGUUGACAAAAUAGCGGUUACGUGUGGAAAGGGAGGGUGUACAAAGCAAACAGGGAAAAAAAAUCGAGCGAUCGCUUGUUUCUCUCAGCCUGCUGAAAGAAGCAGGAAGCGAACUAGAGCUGUUCACCUACACCGUUUCGAAUGAAAGACUGCAGUGGACAUUUGAAGGGGAAGAGAGCUCAGCUUUUGCCUUCUUACUGUGAUUGAAACCUGACCGGUAUUUGGAGUUCAAUCCGAGACGCGGACAGUUAACUUUUAACAUUUCGUUUCGGUGAAUUCUAUAGAACUGGCGUCGGACAUUCCAUUCCAGUUGGAAUAACGUGUUCUAAAGAUGCAGCAUCCUCUUCAUCCCAUCAUGGAGCAGGCUGAGAUAUAAGAGACUGUAGAGACAGCAGGGGUUUCCAAACCAUUCCAGGACCCACUUAAACAGUUAUAGUGUACUCCAAGACUCACUGAAAUAUGGGAAGUAUGGAUAAAGGAAAAAAACACACAAACUAGUAAAAGGU